Molecule: non-coding RNA, 232 nt
Filed under: Parageobacillus caldoxylosilyticus
Lineage: Bacteria; Bacillati; Bacillota; Bacilli; Caryophanales; Anoxybacillaceae
Description: Geobacillus caldoxylosilyticus T-box sequence
Rfam family: T-box leader
About the family: Uncharged tRNA acts as the effector for transcription antitermination of genes in the T-box leader family. T-boxes are found upstream of many aminoacyl-tRNA synthetase genes and some amino acid biosynthetic genes usually in Gram-positive bacteria. The anticodon of a specific tRNA base pairs to a specifier sequence within the T-box motif, and the NCCA acceptor tail of the tRNA base pairs to a conserved bulge in the T-box antiterminator hairpin.
Source: RNAcentral
GAACAACCAAUGACGGAGAAAAGUAGUUAAGAAUACACAUGGCCAGAGAGGAAAUGCCUGAGGCUGGAAGCAUUUCUCCAUGAUGACUUAACGAAAGACACUCCGUAGGUUUCCCUUUGAACGUGCAUGGCGCCAGUAAAAGGGAACGCGAGUCUCGCGUUAUCGGUAACAAGUGGAAGCUUUUUUGCUUCAAUUAGGGUGGCACCACGGGAACAGCGCUCUCGUCCCUAUC